Molecule: long non-coding RNA, 403 nt
Filed under: Gossypium barbadense (sea-island cotton)
Lineage: Eukaryota; Viridiplantae; Streptophyta; Magnoliopsida; Malvales; Malvaceae
Description: long non-coding RNA (GBAR_LNC007236)
Source: RNAcentral
AUUACUUAUUCUAUUAUAAGUAAAUCGAAAAAAUAAAGGGUUCUGAAAAAUCUGGAAAAUUCGAAACUAAGAAUAGAAAUCUUUGACGAAUGGGUCCUGGAAUUGUUAUUAUUUCGACACAAGAAAAGGGUGUGUAAAAUUCCUUUUCUUGUGUCGAAGGCUAGAAAGACGAAGAAUACUCCCUGUAAUUAUUUGUUCCCCUCAUUUAAUUUAUCCUUCCUUUCUAUUCUCCACUUACUUAUCUUAUGUUUAGUAUCUACUCAAAUUGAAUUUAGAAAACAAAACCUAUUCUGUAACAUUUAAAUCUGACACUGACAAUAGGAAUAUAAUUACAACCCCCCAAUUUAGUCCAAUUUAGAUUGAAAAAAGAAAAAAAAAAGAGGUAAAGACAAAUAGUCUUCUU